RNAcentral lists this ribosomal RNA (765 nucleotides) under uncultured beta proteobacterium. RNAcentral describes it as "bacterial SSU rRNA". It matches the Rfam family "Bacterial small subunit ribosomal RNA", at positions 8 to 770 of the family's 1533-position model. The record is from RNAcentral. Lineage: Bacteria; Pseudomonadati; Pseudomonadota; Betaproteobacteria.
AGAGUUUGAUCCUGGCUCAGAUUGAACGCUGGCGGCAUGCUUUACACAUGCAAGUCGAACGGGCUGCGGGGCAACCUGCAGUCAGUGGCGAACGGGUGAGUAAUGCAUCGGAACGUGUCCCGUAGUGGGGGAUAACGCCGCGAAAGCGGCGCUAAUACCGCAUACGCUCUGAGGAGGAAAGCAGGGGACCCGCGAGGGCCUUGUGCUAGGGGGGCGGCCGAUGUCCGAUUAGGUAGUUGGUGGGGUAAUGGCCCACCAAGCCGACGAUCGGUAGCUGGUCUGAGAGGAUGAUCAGCCACACUGGGACUGAGACACGGCCCAGACUCCUACGGGAGGCAGCAGUGGGGAAUUUUGGACAAUGGGGGCAACCCUGAUCCAGCCAUGCCGCGUGCGGGAAGAAGGCCUUCGGGUUGUAAACCGCUUUUAGCCGGGACGAAAGCUCCACUCCUAAUAGGGGUGGGGGUUGACGGUACCGGCGGAAUAAGCACCGGCUAACUACGUGCCAGCAGCCGCGGUAAUACGUAGGGUGCGAGCGUUAAUCGGAAUUACUGGGCGUAAAGCGUGCGCAGGCGGUUCGUUGUGUCGGCGGUGAAAGCCCCGGGCUCAACCUGGGAAUGGCCGUUGAAACUGGCGAACUGGAGUGUGGCAGAGGGGGGUGGAAUUCCGCGUGUAGCAGUGAAAUGCGUAGAGAUGCGGAGGAACACCGAUGGCGAAGGCAGCCCCCUGGGCUGACACUGACGCUCAGGCACGAAAGCGUGGGGAGCA